RNAcentral lists this transfer RNA (75 nucleotides) under Myxococcales bacterium. Its description in RNAcentral is "tRNA-Pro". It matches the Rfam family "tRNA". Rfam says of the family: Transfer RNA (tRNA) molecules are approximately 80 nucleotides in length. Their secondary structure includes four short double-helical elements and three loops (D, anti-codon, and T loops). The record is from RNAcentral. Lineage: Bacteria; Pseudomonadati; Myxococcota; Myxococcia; Myxococcales.
CGGGCUGUGGCGCAGUUUGGUCAGCGCGCUCGCUUCGGGUGCGAGAGGUCGGAGCUUCGAAUCCUCCCAGCCCGA